RNAcentral lists this ribosomal RNA (253 nucleotides) under uncultured bacterium. Its description in RNAcentral is "partial 16S ribosomal RNA". It matches the Rfam family "Bacterial small subunit ribosomal RNA", at positions 524 to 776 of the family's 1533-position model. The record is from RNAcentral.
UACGUAGGGUCCAAGCGUUAUCCGGAAUCACUGGGCGUAAAGCGUCCGUAGGUGGUCUGUUAAGUGAGAUGUGAAAGCGUGUGGCUCAACCAUAUCGUUGUGUUUCAUACUGGCAGACUAGAGGGAAGCAGAGGCAAGUGGAAUUGGCAGUGUAGCAGUGAAAUGCGUAGAUAUCGUUUGGAACGCCGAUGGUGAAAACAGACUGCUGGGGGUGUGCCGACGCUGAGACACGAAAGCCAGGGGAGCAAACGGG